AACGUACCUUUCAGUGGGGGAUAACGCAGCGAAAGUUACGCUAAUACCGCAUAUUCUGUGAGCAGGAAAGCAGGGGAUCGCAAGACCUUGCGCUGAUUGAGCGGCCGAUAUCAGAUUAGCUAGUUGGUGAGGUAAAGGCUCACCAAGGCGACGAUCUGUAGCGGGUCUGAGAGGAUGAUCCGCCACACUGGAACUGAGACACGGUCCAGACUCCUACGGGAGGCAGCAGUGGGGAAUUUUGGACAAUGGGCGCAAGCCUGAUCCAGCCAUGCCGCGUGAGUGAAGAAGGCCUUCGGGUUGUAAAGCUCUUUCAGCCGGGAAGAAAACGCAUGGGUUAAUACCCUGUGUGGAUGACGGUACCGGAAUAAGAAGCACCGGCUAACUACGUGCCAGCAGCCGCGGUAAUACGUAGGGUGCGAGCGUUAAUCGGAAUUACUGGGCGUAAAGCGUGCGCAGGCGGUUUGUUAAGAUAGGCGUGAAAUCCCCGGGCUCAACCUGGGAACUGCGUUUAUGACUGGCAAGCUAGAGUAUGGCAGAGGGGGGUGGAAUUCCACGUGUAGCAGUGAAAUGCGUAGAGAUGUGGAGGAACACCGAUGGCGAAGGCAGCCCCCUGGGCCAAUACUGACGCUCAUGCACGAAAGCGUGGGUAGCAAACAGGAUUAGAUACCCUGGUAGUCCACGCCCUAAACGAUGUCAACUAGGUGUUGGGAGGGUAAAACCUUUUAGUACCGGAGCUAACGCGUGAAGUUGACCGACUGGGGAGUACGGCCGCAAGGUUAAAACUCAAAGGAAUUGACGGGGACCCGCACAAGCGGUGGAUGAUGUGGAUUAAUUCGAUGCAACGCGAAAAACCUUACCUACCCUUGACAUGUCCGGAAGCCCUUAGAGAUUUGGGUGUGCUCGAAAGAGAGCCGGAACACAGGUGCUGCAUGGCUGUCGUCAGCUCGUGUCGUGAGAUGUUGGGUUAAGUCCCGCAACGAGCGCAACCCUUGUCGUUAAUUGCCAUCAUUUAGUUGGGCACUUUAACGAGACUGCCGGUGACAAACCGGAGGAAGGUGGGGAUGACGUCAAGUCCUCAUGGCCCUUAUGGGUAGGGCUUCACACGUCAUACAAUGGUCGGUACAAAGGGUCGCCAACCCGCGAGGGGGAGCCAAUCCCAGAAAGCCGAUCGUAGUCCGGAUCGUAGGCUGCAACUCGCCUGCGUGAAGUCGGAAUCGCUAGUAAUCGUGGAUCAGCAUGUCACGGUGAAUACGUUCCCGGGUCUUGUACACACCGCCCGUCACACCAUGGGAGCGGGUUCCGCCAGAAGUAGGUAGCCUAACCGCAAGGAGGGCGCUUACCACGGCGGGGUUCGUGACUGGGGUGAAGUCGUAACAAGGUA
This 1381-nucleotide ribosomal RNA is filed under the name metagenome. RNAcentral describes it as "bacterial SSU rRNA". It matches the Rfam family "Bacterial small subunit ribosomal RNA", at positions 123 to 1498 of the family's 1533-position model. The record is from RNAcentral.